GGGCGACAUUGAGUCAUUUUUUUCCAGGUUAAUUUUAUCUAUCUUUAAUACCAAAAUGGAUGAUGGUUUAUACUGAUGUUGUGAAUAUGAGAUUACACAUGGAAACUGUUUAUUUUUAUUAUAGUAAAUUAGGAAUUAUUAGAAAUUGUUAAAUCCACUAUACGAUCACAAUGAUCUUGAUAGACAUUUCGAUAUUUUUUCUUUUGUUAAUAUAUCAUACUGCAGAUUUAUGGAGAAUUGCUGUGGGAGUGCUAUUUAUAUCACGCUGACUAAUGAUCAUUCAUCCAUGCUGUUUGUCUCAUCAUUGCAGCUUUGGAAAUAAAUGAACUAGUUAAAUAACGGUUCAAUUUAAAAAUAAAAAAAUCCAUCCUUUGCUCCUUCCUGUGUUGACUCACUGACUUGAGGGACGGGACCAGGAAGGUCACAUAUAGACCAGGAUUUGUGCAAGGGGGCAUUGUCAUGCUGAAACAGGAAAGGGCCUUUUCGAACCUGUUCCCACAAAGUGGGAAGCACAGAAUCGUUUAGAAUGUCAUAGUUUGCUGUAGCGUUAUUAAGAUUUCCCUUCAUUGGAACUAAGGGGCCUAGAGCAUUAUUCCUCCUCCACCAAACUUUACAGUUGGCACUAUGCAUUGGGGCAGAUAGCGCUCUCAUGGUAUCUGCCAAACCCAGAAACUGCUAGAUGAUUCAUCACUGCUACAUGAUUCAUCACUCCAGAGAACGUGAUUCAAUCUCCAGAGUCCAAUGGCGGUGAGCUUUACACCCCUCCAGCAUUGCACAUGGUGAUCUUAGGCUUGUGUGCGGCUGCUCGGCCAUGGAAACCCAUUUCAUGAAACUCCAGGUGAACAGUUCUUGUGCUGAAGUUGCUUCCAGAGGAAGUUUGGAACUCGCUAGUGAGUGCUGCAACCGAGGACAGACGAAUUUUACACGGUCCUGUUCUGUGAGCUUGUGUGGCCUACCACUUCUUGGCUGAGCCAUUGUUGCUCCUAGAAGUUUCCACUUCACAUUAACAGCACUUACAGUUGACCUGGGGCAGCUCUAGCAGGGCAGACAUUUGACGAACUGACUUGUUGGAAAUCAAAUCAAAUCAAAUGUAUUUAUAUAGCCCUUUUUACAUCAGCUGAUAUCUCAAAGUGCUGUACAGAAACCCAGCCUAAAACCCCCCAAACAGCAAGCAAUGCAGGUGUAGAAGCACGGUGGCUAGGAAAAAACUCCCUAGAAAGGCCAGAACCUAGGAAGAAACCUAGAGAGGAACCAGGCUAUGAGGGGUGGCCAGUCCUCUUCUGGCUGUGCCGGGUGGAGAUUAUAACAGAACAUGGCCAAGAUGUUAAAAUGUUCAUAAAUGACCAGCAGGGUCAAAUAAUAAUAAUCACAGUAGUUGUCGAGGGUGCAACAGGUCAACACCUCAGGAGUAAAUGUCAGUUGGCUUUUCAUAGCCGAUCAUUGAGAGUAUCUCUUCCGCUCCUGCUGUCUCUAGAGAGUUGAAAACAGCAGGUCUGGGACAUGUAGCACGUCCAGUGAACAGGUCAGGGUUCCAUAGCCGCAGGCAGAACAGUUGAAACUGGAGCAGCAGCACAACCAGGUGGACUGGGGGCAGCUGGGAGUCAUCAUGUCAGGUAGUCCUGAGGCAUGGUCAUAGGGCUCAGGUCCUCGGAGAGAGAGAAAGAAAGAGAGAAAGAGAGAAUUAGAGAGAGCAUACUUAAAUUCACACAGGACACCGGAUAAGACAAGAAAAAUACUCCAGAUGUAACAGACUGACCCUAGCCCCCCCGACACAUAAACUACUGCAGCAUAAAUACUGGAGGCUCGGUUUGUGAAGUGGCAUCCUAUGACGGUGCCACGUUGAAAGUCACUGAGCUCUUCAGUAAGGCCAUUCUUCUGCCAAUUUUGGUCUAUGGCUGUGUGCUUGAUUUUAUAAACCCUAAUUUGAAGGGGUGUCCACAUACUUUUGUAUGUAGUGUAUUUUGGAUGAACAUCUACAGGAGACUGUUGAAGGAGCCUAAUCAGAUAAAAACAUUGU
RNAcentral lists this long non-coding RNA (2017 nucleotides) under Salmo salar (Atlantic salmon). RNAcentral's name for it is "lncRNA (ENSSSAG00000115532.1)". The record is from RNAcentral. Lineage: Eukaryota; Metazoa; Chordata; Actinopteri; Salmoniformes; Salmonidae.